GCCGCUGUAGCUCAAUUGGCAGAGCACGCGCCUUUUAAGCGAGGAGAUGAAGGAUCGUGGCCUUCCGGCGGCACCA
This 76-nucleotide transfer RNA is filed under the name Chloroflexota bacterium. Its description in RNAcentral is "tRNA-Lys". It matches the Rfam family "tRNA". Rfam says of the family: Transfer RNA (tRNA) molecules are approximately 80 nucleotides in length. Their secondary structure includes four short double-helical elements and three loops (D, anti-codon, and T loops). Further hydrogen bonds mediate the characteristic L-shaped molecular structure. tRNAs have two regions of fundamental functional importance: the anti-codon, which is responsible for specific mRNA codon recognition, and the 3' end, to which the tRNAs corresponding amino acid is attached (by aminoacyl-tRNA synthetases). tRNAs cope with the degeneracy of the genetic code in two manners: having more than one tRNA (with a specific anti-codon) for a particular amino acid; and 'wobble' base-pairing, i.e. permitting non-standard base-pairing at the 3rd anti-codon position. Lineage: Bacteria; Bacillati; Chloroflexota. The record is from RNAcentral.